CUAAUUAACGCACAAUGACCGUCGCCGAUCCGAAACGACGACGCUCAUCGAUCUUUCAAAAGUGCAUCGCUUUUUUUUUGACGCGGUGCUUUCGCAACAAUAUUUUGAUUGGCGAGGCUUUUCUGUGUACCCAAAACAGCCGAAGGUGUGCCGGAGUGAGAACGACCCCAGAUGUUCGUGGCGCGGCUGCCGUCCAAAUCAAUUAUUCCACUCUCAGCAUGAAUUCAAUUCUCCUGCACCCAUCGGAGGUGUGAAUAGCACCUGGGACAUCAGGCACACCAGGAACGGUCCCUUUCCCAGAGUGCCGUGCAGCAGUGCCCGCCUAGCUUUGGCACCUCAGCUGUCAGCCCGCUCUGCUGAUGAGGAGAAGGUGUGGGGCGAUGAAGCCGAUAAUGAAGGUGACUGACAACUAGCAUGUUACCAUCUGCACUGCGUGUUUCUAAAAACACUCCAAUGACGCAAAAGGCAUCCUGCUGCAGUCAAAUCAACUGGCAUAACAACUUCGUCAGAAUUACGGUUGUCAGUAACAGUGGUACAGAUAGUACAACUAAAUAUUAGCGGUUCGAAAAUCAACCAAAGUGCUUUCCGAAAGUGUCAUUUUUCAGGGCUUUGUUUGGGUACGCUAGUGGUAUAUUGAUGACUUUUAACCGAACUUCCUAAGAAAUAUUUUAACUGUAAAUUUCGGUAAUGCACUCUGUGACUAAUACAAUGAUUGCAGACCAUGCUGGAGCCAGACGUGCUUUAAUUUCAAACCACCUCCCA
Long non-coding RNA from Puntigrus tetrazona (Sumatra barb), 762 nucleotides. RefSeq lists it as uncharacterized. The record is from RefSeq and is a predicted model, not a curated record. NCBI's taxonomy places the organism in Eukaryota, Metazoa, Chordata, Actinopteri, Cypriniformes, Cyprinidae. The transcript has 4 exons.